UACGGGAGGCAGCAGGGGGGAAUAUUGCACAAUGGGCGAAAGCCUGAUGCAGCUAUGCCGCGUGUAUGAAGAAGGCCUUAGGGUUGUAAAGUACUUUCAUCGGGGAGGAAAAAACAAAACUAAUAAUUUUAUUUCUUGACGUUACCCGAAAAAGAAGCACCGGCUAACUCCGUGCCAGCAGCCGCGGUAAUACGGAGGGUGCUAGCGUUAAUCAGAAUUACUGGGCGUAAAGAGCACGUAGGUGGUUUUUUUAAAGUCAGAUGUGAAAUCCCUGGGCUUAACCUGGAACUGCAUUUUGAAACUGAAAUACUAGAGUAUCGUAGAGGGAGGUAGAAUUCUAGGUGUAGCGGUGAAAUGCGUAGAUAUCUGGAGGAAUACCUGUGGCGAAAGCGGCCUCCUAAACGAAUACUGACACUGAGGGUGCGAAAGCGUGGGGAGCAAAACAGGGAUUAGAUACC
This 458-nucleotide ribosomal RNA is filed under the name uncultured bacterium. Its description in RNAcentral is "bacterial SSU rRNA". It matches the Rfam family "Bacterial small subunit ribosomal RNA", at positions 340 to 786 of the family's 1533-position model. The record is from RNAcentral.